GACGAAGGAUGCAAGCGUUAUCCGGAUUCAUUGGGUUUAAAGGGAGCGUAGGUGGAUAUAUAAGUCAGUGGUGAAAUCUUUGGGCUUAACCCAAAAAUUGCCAUUGAUACUGUAUAUCUUGAGUACAGUUGCUGUGGGCGGAAUAUGACAUGUAGUGGUGAAAUACAUAGAGAUGUCAUAGAACACCGAUUGCGAAGGCAGCUCACAAAGCUGUAACUGACACUGAGGCUCGAAAGUGCGGGGAUCAAACAGG
This 253-nucleotide ribosomal RNA is filed under the name uncultured bacterium. RNAcentral describes it as "partial 16S ribosomal RNA". It matches the Rfam family "Bacterial small subunit ribosomal RNA", at positions 524 to 776 of the family's 1533-position model. The record is from RNAcentral.